RNAcentral lists this microRNA precursor (79 nucleotides) under Cercocebus atys (sooty mangabey). Its description in RNAcentral is "miRNA (ENSCATG00000009575.1)". The record is from RNAcentral. Lineage: Eukaryota; Metazoa; Chordata; Mammalia; Primates; Cercopithecidae.
CUGGCUAAGGUCUGGGGAGGAUUUGCUGGUGCUAAAGAGGAAAGCAGACCCUACCCAACCCCACACCCUACUACAGCCA